UCUGAUUACAUCAUAAAACAAAAGAUCAAAUUCUAAGUCCAGGAGUUUGGAACUGAUCUUCUGAUGCUAAUAUUCAUGUCUCAUGUUCCUCCAGCUGCUAAAAAAAAUAAUAAUAAUUGAGAUGAGAUACAAUAUCUCAGUGAGCUUUAUAAAUAAGAGGAAAACAAGAAGAAAAUUAUUAAAAGUGAGAUACAAUAUCUUUCAUAAAAGUGUAUAAAACAUAUAAAAGUAGUUAUACAUCUCAAGAAGAAAAAAAAAAACAAUCAUUAUACAUCACAAACAUCAUACCCAUAAACAACAAUACACACGUCUAAUUUAUUUUCAAUUUCAGAAAGUUAAAUUCCUAUUCUUAACAAAAUAAAAAAAUAAAAAUAAAAAUCUUUAAUAAAAAGAUCUCACUGGUUGUGACAAGGAAGAAGAUGAUGUUCUGAUUAACUUGGUUGCUGAGCUCCCCUUUUGCUUGAAUUGUCACCUUGACCCAAGUUCUUCAAUUUUGGGUUAUCAUCCUUCGCUGUUGAAGCUGAUUAGUUACAAAUUG
This 538-nucleotide long non-coding RNA is filed under the name Cicer arietinum (chickpea). RNAcentral's name for it is "long non-coding RNA (CARI_LNC001959)". The record is from RNAcentral. Lineage: Eukaryota; Viridiplantae; Streptophyta; Magnoliopsida; Fabales; Fabaceae.